CAUCGCCGCGAGAGGAUAAGGCCCGGGGCGCCUCGGUCAUCUCCCCCGCGCCUCACUCUCUCCUCUGUCACCCCACUCCCCUCUGGGCUCUCUCCAGAUCCCCUUUCCCUCCACCUCCACGACGCACUCGUCGCCGGCCACUUCGCCCCGCCGCAACCACCGCCGUCCCCGCACCUCGUCGACACAUCUACGAGCUCCACCGUCGCCCUCUACAUCGACUGGUGCCGCCCGUUGGAGCUCCUCAGCUCUGCAUCGCGAGAUCGCCGUCGUCUUCUUCCUCUUCGGUCGCCGGCGUCGGCGUCGAUUCCGGCGAAGCCUGCAGCACCUAAGCCUCCCAACGGCCACCGUGUGCCUCCCGAUGACGGAGCCCUUGAGACCGCUGCCCCCACCGACGACUACUACUACUACUACUACUACCCCGAGGGUGCCUACUGCUACGUGACGGACGCCGGCGGCCAGAAGUAGUUAGGAGGCUCCCAGACAGGAGGCCUUGCCUUUUCGAUCGUAGAUACUUUUGUGCUGGCCUUCUUAAGGCAAACUUGUUUAACUUAUGUCUAUACUCAGAUAUUGUUGCUUCCGCUUACUAGUUUGUAUUCAAGCUGAUGUAUUCGAGCCCCGAGGCCCCUGGCUUGUAAUAUAAAGCUUGCAUUAUUUUAAUUUGUAUCUCGAGUUG
Long non-coding RNA from Triticum aestivum (bread wheat), 673 nucleotides. RefSeq lists it as uncharacterized. NCBI's taxonomy places the organism in Eukaryota, Viridiplantae, Streptophyta, Magnoliopsida, Poales, Poaceae. The transcript is spliced from 2 exons. The record is from RefSeq and is a predicted model, not a curated record.